RNAcentral lists this ribosomal RNA (497 nucleotides) under uncultured bacterium. RNAcentral's name for it is "partial 16S ribosomal RNA". It matches the Rfam family "Bacterial small subunit ribosomal RNA", at positions 28 to 507 of the family's 1533-position model. The record is from RNAcentral.
GGUGAACGCUGGCGGCGUGCCUAAUACAUGCAAGUCGAGCGAACGGACGAGAAGCUUGCUUCUCUGAUGUUAGCGGCGGACGGGUGAGUAACACGUGGAUAACCUACCUAUAAGACUGGGAUAACUUCGGGAAACCGUAGCUAAUACCGGAUAAUAUUUUGAACCGCAUGGUUCAAUAGUGAAAGACGGUCUUGCUGUCACUUAUAGAUGGAUCCGCGCUGCAUUAGCUAGUUGGUAAGGUAACGGCUUACCAAGGCAACGAUGCAUAGCCGACCUGAGAGGGUGAUCGGCCACACUAGAGCUGAGACACGGUCCAGACUCCUACGAGAGGCAGCAGUAGCGAAUCUUCCGCAAUGGUCGAAAGCCUGACGGAGCGACGCCGCGUGAGUUAUGAAGAUCCUCGGAUCGUAAAACUCUGUUAUGAGUGAAGAACAGAUUUGUAAGUAACUGUGCACUUCUUGACGGUACCUAGUCAGAAAGCCACGGCUAACUACGUG